Molecule: non-coding RNA, 73 nt
Organism: Zootermopsis nevadensis
Lineage: Eukaryota; Metazoa; Arthropoda; Insecta; Blattodea; Termopsidae
Source: Rfam
GUCACGGUGGUCUAGCGGUUAGAACGCUGGCCUUGUAAUCCUGGGGUCUCGGGUUCGAUUCCCGGCGGUGCCC